Molecule: non-coding RNA, 3183 nt
Organism: Phoenix dactylifera (date palm)
Lineage: Eukaryota; Viridiplantae; Streptophyta; Magnoliopsida; Arecales; Arecaceae
Source: RefSeq, a predicted model, not a curated record
GGCACUGGUGACGGGACCCUAAUAUUAGCUAUGGAGUUGUUGUUGGCACAGAACCUAAAUUCUAGCUGGCAUCAUUGUUACGGAGCAUUGAUAUAGAGGAGAGGGGAGAGGAAGAUGGGAGAGGAGAAUCGAGAGAGAGAGGGAGAGAGGAGGGGGGGAGAGAGAGAGGUGUACCUUGUUAGUAGCGGUGAUAGAAACCUAACCCUAGAGAGAGGGGGGAGGGAAAGAAGAAUCGAGAGAGAUAGAGGGCUGGAGAGUUCUAUUUUAUAUUAAAAAACUGGUUCAAUUCUGGAAUCGGAUUGACCGGCAAAAGUGUCCCGGUAAUCGAUUAGUCCGGUUCAGUAUGCCCCUAACCAUGUGGUUCGGAAUAGUUCGGCAGUCCUUUAUUUUGAUUGUAGUUUGUUUUGCCACAACUGUAAUAUUUUUUGACAACUUGAAAAAUCUAUUUCCAUAUUAAAACUUACUCUCCACAUAUCUAUAUUACCAAAGAAGAACGAGGACACCACUCUUGGUUUUUGGUCAUUUUUGGCUGGAGCAAUGGAGGUUGUCAAGUGGAAGAGUGGUCUUGGGACUAGAGAAGUGCCAUGAGAAUUCAGAAGUUUGACUUUUAUCAUAGGAAAAUGAAAUGACAAGUUUGGGGAUCAUGUAUCAUCUCACUUGAAAUUCUAGAAGAUUCAAAUUUAACAAAGACAAAUUCGUAAUGUGAUCUUUGAUUCAUAAUGCGAUGCUGCUGUAAACGAAUAUACAGAAACAGAGCUUUAUAUAACUGACUAGCAAAACAACCCUUUAAUAUUGCAACGAAAUAGAUAAGUUGCAUCACAGAUUAUCCAGAUUAUCGUUUACCUUGUCCGUAGUCAGAUAUCUUUGCUACUUGCAAAGUCAUUUUUCACAGGAUUUUGUAUCUUGACAUUGGCUUUGCUUGUACGGCUUCGAGUUUUGGUUCAACAAGUAAGUAUUCAGACUAAAUUUUAGUUUUCUUUUUUUCCAAAUGGAAUAAUUAUCUUGAUACGGAUGGUCCAGGUGAAUUCUAUGAUAAAAGAGAUGAUUAUUGGCAACAUAGAGGGGUGCUAGUGUUGCAAAUUAUAAUGUAUAGAAUCUUACUGUUUUUUCUUUGUAGAUUCUACAUCCAUUUUGAUUGAAAAAAAAUUAUGAGACAAUUGCUGAAGUUCUUUCAGGUCCAGAACAUUUGGGAAUCACAUUUUUAAGCAUAUAGAGUUCUAUUUUCAUUUUCGUGUUUUUACGCAGAAUUGCUGUAGAAUCAGUUUCUUUUUCCAGGAUUUCUUCAGUCCAAACUGAAUCCAUAACCAGCGCAUGCUACAGCCCAAAAUUGAUAACGAUCUUCCAUAUAGAAAAGAAAAUAUCAGGAGAUAUCUGAAUUUUUUUUUGUGAAUAAUAACUUUAAUUACGGCAGCAAGAUACUUUUUAAAACCCUGAAACACCAAUAUUUGAACUUUCUAGAUGUAGAUUUCUAGCAAUAUGACUCUUUCCUGAUCUAUUUUUAAUAGAAAGAGGAUAGAAACAAAUAGGGAAGGGAAUGGAAUAAGAGGGAAUGACCUAUUAGAUUUCUCUCUCUUGGCCAGCCCAAGUAGGUGCCCAUUCCUCUUCUCACACUAAAGUAAAUUGAGGUUUUGCUUUAUAUUCCCUGUUUACCUCACUGAAACCCCAUAUUUCUUACAUGGCAAAUAAAACUUAAUCCAGACUAACAUUAGAUUCCACAGGCUGUCCUAAAACAUCUAAUCCCCUAAUUAACCAUAUAACCAGGCCUAACAAAAGGAGCGUCUAAAACUCUUACAAUUAAUUUAAACCCUUGUCAAGCUGAAAAUUCAGCAGUUUAAACUAGAUCUUGAGAGAAAAGAUAAAUUUGUUCCUCUGUCACCAAGAUCUUUGCCUUCUCACUAGCCAUAUUUGAUAUGUCAUUGUUACUUGCUAUUAGAAGGCCAACAAUGUUCCAGUUACCUUCAGAAUUGGUAAAUAUUCUGUCUGAAAUAAUUAAAUUUCCAGUUUUGUUGUGGAAAGAUACAAUGUCACUUUGUCCUGCUGGUAUUUUGCUUCCAUCUUCUAUUGUAUGUCCUUUGCUAAUGAAUAUCAGGCAUAUAUGAAAUUCAAACUUGGAAAUAAUAUGGUCAUCUGAAUCCACCCUAGAAACUAUAGCAUUAGAUAUUAGUAUUUCGAUAAAUCUAUUUAGCUGACAAGCUUGCUACUGCCUGAUAAAAAUCUGUUGUCAACAACCAAACAGAAAAUUGUUUUCACCUCAAAAACAGCAUUUGCGUAUAUUUACUUGCCCUAUAAGUCAGAGAUAUGUUCAUGCAAUCCAACGUUUUGAUAUAUAUUUUAGAACUUUCAUGGACGACCAGUUUAUGAUGCUUAAAGCUUGUAUUCGCCGUCAAAUCCAUGCCAGUGCUAUGAAACUGAAAUAUAUAUCCUGAACAGUGACGUUGCUGCACGAUAUUGUCCGCCUCCCUAAGACCCCCUUGAUUUACACUUUUUAACAGAUCUUAGUUAACGUAGUUUUGGUAUUCAACAAUGUCUCCUCUCUCGCGCGGAAGAAGCAUUCUGUCAAACUCAUUCAGGAUGGGGUAGAGGCUUUCAGGGACUACCAUCCCUCAGGUGGGGAUUAGGGCCGGCCUAACCUUUAGGCAACUGAGGUGGUCGCCUAAGGCCCUGACCUAAAGAAGGCCCAUCGCAGGAAUGCCUCAAAGACAAAAUGAAAAGAAAAAAGGCUCCCUGUGAGUUCGCUUUAGAUCGGCCCACUGCAGGGAAGGCCUCAAAGACAAAAUGGCCUUAGGCCUCCAAAUAUAUUGGGCCACUCCUGGUGGGGAUGUUCUUAUUUUAGAAUGUGUCUGGAAAAAGGUAAGUUUGUCUUGUCCGAGAGGACAAAAAGAAGCAACGAAAACAAUCAAGAUGAUGAUUUCAGCGCUCUUUCAUUGGAGACAUCUCUUCAAUAUGAAACUAUAGAGCUAUUUAGUGAAGGUUGGUAUUUUGUGUUAUCCUUUCAGGCAUCCUUUGAUCACAAAAUAUCAUUUUACUUCAAGUUCAACCAACAAGUUUUGUUUUUGCUCGUCGCUCUCAUCACUUGAAGUGAGCAUCAUUUAAUUCACAUUUGCAUGGUGAUUGAUGUGGACUUUGACUUAUAUAUGCAUCAAUUAUGAUCAUUCGAUCAAUAAAGAACUGAUAUUAGCUGUA